RNAcentral lists this long non-coding RNA (713 nucleotides) under Pan troglodytes (chimpanzee). RNAcentral's name for it is "long non-coding RNA NONPTRT010879". Lineage: Eukaryota; Metazoa; Chordata; Mammalia; Primates; Hominidae. The record is from RNAcentral.
AUUUUCUUCUAUUCUUAAAGAAAAAACAGGCAGAUUACAGUAAACAUCUCCCAACGCUUCCCCAGAGCAGAGCGCGUCCCAUGCGCAGCAACCAGACGGCGCCCAUCCCAAGCUGCCAGGGCCUCGAUAGGCAGGGCGCGGCAGGUGCCAGGACCACAUGCAGGCUGCAGAGCACCGCCCGCACGCUCCGCACCACUCGCAGCGCCAUGUUCCCAGGGGUGCGGGGAUGGCAGCGCUACGCCUCAGCCACUCGCGCGGGGAGGCGGGGCGGGGCGGGCAGAAGUAAAUUUCUUUAUAAAUUACCCAGUCUGGGCCUGGUGUGUUGGCUCACAUGUGUAAUUCCAGAACUUUGGGAGGUCAAGGUGGGAGGAGCGCCUGGACCCAGGGGUUCAAGACGAGCCUGGGCAAUGUAGUGAGACCUGUCUCUAUAAAAAAUUUUUAAAAAUUAGCUGGGCGCGGUGGCUUACGCCUGUAAUCCCAGCACUUUGGGAGGCCGAGGUGGGCAGAUCAUGAGGUCAGGAGUUUGAGACCAGCCUGACCAACAUGGUGAAACCCCGUCUCUACUAAAAACACAAAAAUUAGCUGGGCAUGGUGGUGCACACCUGUAAUCCUAGCUAGAUCCUAGUAGAUUGAGGCAGGAAAACUGAACCCGGGAGGUGGAGGUUGCAGUGAGCUGAGAUUGUGCCACUGCACUUCAGCCUGGGCGACAGACU